Molecule: long non-coding RNA, 1408 nt
Organism: Ornithorhynchus anatinus (platypus)
Lineage: Eukaryota; Metazoa; Chordata; Mammalia; Monotremata; Ornithorhynchidae
Exons: 4
Source: RefSeq, a predicted model, not a curated record
GUGGCGGGUUCCGAAGUCGCGUCUCUUCUCUGGGCCUCAGUCACCUCACCACUAAAGUGGGGACUGAGACCGAGAGCCCCGCAUGGGGCAGGGGCUGCGUCCAGCUCGAUUUGCUCGUAUCCUCCCCGGUGGAUAACGUCGUCAUUUUUCAGCUGCCGGGACAGGCCGAAGAGGAGUGAGACGCGGCCAGCUCUCCCCGUCACGACGAGCAAAGGACAGGACUUGGCGCAGGUGGUGAUUUCAGAAGCAUUUUUCCGUCUGAUUCGACGAUUUGGAGUAUUUGGGAGGCGGCGUGGCUGAGUGGAAAGACGUCGCGGCCGUCCAUCGGGAGACCCGCGGUGCUACUCCUGGCUCUGUCACUUGGCUGCUGGGUGAUCUUAGGCAAGUCGCUUAACCUACCUGGGCUUCAAUUUCCCCAUCUGUAAAAUGGGUAUAAUACCUGCUCUCCCUCCCUCUUCUCUCCCUCCCACGUGCAACGGAGACCGCAUCCGACCUGACUGCCUUGGACCUAUCCCGAUGCUUAACACGGUGCUCGGUGAUUGAUAAGUACCGUUAUUAUCAUUAUUAAUGAUGAUAAUAACUAUCAACGGGAAAUCUGAAACACAGAUACACGUGCCCCUAGUCGCAUAAAGCUUAGGUUUUCUAAGCCUGAUGCUCAAAUGAUGCUCUCACUCUUUGACACAGGGAUUCCAGCUCUGUCUAACUGUACCACUGUGACAGCAACUUAAGCAAAUAUACCCCUGGACACCACAUACGAAAACUAAAACUCCGUGCGCCGCACCGACAUAUUCCCGGCUCUACGCAAACACCGGUGUGAAUCCGACUCGGACGUUGGGUGACGGGGGGGGGGGGGGGGGGACGACACACCGAAGCGUAGACUCCUAAAAAGGCGCGUGUACGUUUCCCCCGACAGACGACAAAGGAGCAGACACAAGCAAAAAUCUGCCUUUCACUCAGGUUCGACGGGUCCCUCUUACAUUACACCGUGCCCCGGAGGUCGACAAUUUAGCCUCUUGGGGGUGGACCUUCCGUCAAAGAGGUCAAAUUUAGGACUAGACCGAGAGCGCGGUUAGGACAAUUUCGGCACGCCUCGGGAGCGAGCUGUUUCCAGAACACAGUCUUGCAGGUACUGCGAUAAAUCCAGACGGGAAGCCGGUGAAGACCGCCGUGGAUGCUAAAAUAUUCAAGCAGUCUUUGGACUCAUGCCUCGGUCGGUUUCUGAAAAUUACACCCCGAGUAUCAACGUUGUAAUCCAGCAUCAACCGUCCCACAGACGCGACGCCAUAGAGAGGGUAUCGGUUCUUCCAUCCAGGCUGGAUGCCCUUCGCUCUCCCCAGAUGACCCAGAGGACUCAAGGAUGAUUCUGUUUGGAUGAGGGAACCGAGGCCCCGAGAAGCGAAGCGACUGG